RNAcentral lists this long non-coding RNA (465 nucleotides) under Trifolium pratense (red clover). RNAcentral's name for it is "long non-coding RNA (TPRA_LNC011095)". The record is from RNAcentral. Lineage: Eukaryota; Viridiplantae; Streptophyta; Magnoliopsida; Fabales; Fabaceae.
UGUAACACCCCCUUUUCAGAGACUGAAAAGAAGAGCGUCACAGUUCUCUACCCAAAUUUAAAUGCUUAAAUACAAGCAAAUAAAAUUAUGCUGGUUUAUUUUUUUUGUAAAGGAAAAGUAAUAAGUGAGAAAUGUUCUCGAAUAUAAGUACUAUUAUUUUUAUUUAAGAAAGUUUUCAAAAUUCUCUUUAUAUAAAUUUAAAGUAAGCCCAUAAAUAUAUGAAUCACUUAUAUCAAACAAUCAUCUAGUAAUUUUGCUCAAAGGAUUUUCAAAUAUAAAACAUUUCCAUUUCACAUAAGCAUCGUACAAUUUUUCAAUAUGAAAUAAUAAAAUAUAAAUUCCUACAGAAGACUCUAUCCCAGAAAUGAUCACAAGCUGGUCAAACACUAAAAAUACAUAUCACCUAGAGAGUACUCCAAUGACGUCAUCAAUACAUAUCAAAGAGAUCUUUCUCUUCGGACUCCA